Molecule: ribosomal RNA, 198 nt
Filed under: uncultured bacterium
Lineage: Bacteria
Description: partial 16S ribosomal RNA
Rfam family: Bacterial small subunit ribosomal RNA
Source: RNAcentral
ACGCUCGACACCUACAGGAGGCAGCAGUGGGGAAUAUUGCACAAUGGGGGAAACCCUGAUGCAGCGACGCCGCGUGAGCGAAGAAGUAUUUCGGUAUGUAAAGCUCUAUCAGCAGGGAAGAAACUGACGGUACCUGACUAAGAAGCACCGGCUAAAUACGUGCCAGCAGCCGUGGUAAUCUGAGCGGGCUGGCAAGGC